GAUAAACGCUGGCGGCGUGCUUAACACAUGCAAGUCGAACGAAGUUUUUCCUUCGGGAGCAACUUAGUGGCGGACGGGUGCGUAACGCGUGGGUAACCUGCCCUGUACAGGGGGACAACAGCUGGAAACGGCUGCUAAUACCGCAUAAGCACUUAGCACUGCAUGGUGCAUAGGGAAAAGGAGCAAUCCGGUACAGGAUGGACCCGCGUCUGAUUAGCCAGUUGGCAGGGUAACGGCCUACCAAAGCGACGAUCAGUAGCCGAUCUGAGAGGAUGUACGGCCACAUUGGGACUGAGACACGGCCCAGACUCCUACGGGAGGCAGCAGUGGGGAAUAUUGCACAAUGGAGGAAACUCUGAUGCAGCGACGCCGCGUGAGUGAAGAAGUAUUUCGGUAUGUAAAGCUCUAUCAGCAGGGAAGAAAAUGACGGUACCUGACUAAGAAGCACCGGCUAAAUACGU
This 461-nucleotide ribosomal RNA is filed under the name uncultured bacterium. RNAcentral describes it as "partial 16S ribosomal RNA". It matches the Rfam family "Bacterial small subunit ribosomal RNA", at positions 28 to 506 of the family's 1533-position model. The record is from RNAcentral.